CUGCAUUCCAAAUAGAAACGUCUUAAGUAGUUAACAAAAUGUCAGCACAACAAUUGCUGGUCUUAACAAUAUUCCUUUUUAUGUUUGUGAAAUGUUUGUGGGCACAGGAAGGAGACCCUCCCAUAUACGAACUAAGAAAUAAAACACUCUGCAUUGAUGAGGUGCUGGGCUAUGUGAUGUGUUACCGAUGAGCUUAUUCGAUAAAAACCCUAAUUAUUUUGUAAAAACAAAAGCGAAAUGAAUGAAAUAAAAAAAAAAUGAAUAACA
Scaptodrosophila lebanonensis is the source of this 267-nucleotide long non-coding RNA. RefSeq lists it as uncharacterized. The transcript has 2 exons. Lineage: Eukaryota; Metazoa; Arthropoda; Insecta; Diptera; Drosophilidae. The record is from RefSeq and is a predicted model, not a curated record.